CUUGGGAACCGCCUCCUUUUGGCAAAAAAGCCCCGGGUUAACUACUUGGCCACCACCCGGGGAAAUACUUAGGGGGCAAGCUUUGCCCGAAUUUUUGGGGCGAAAAGCGCGCGCAGGCGGCCUCUUAAGUCUGAUGUGAAAGCCCCCGGCUCACCCGGGGAGGGCCAUUGAAAACUGGGAGGUUUGAUUAUAGGAGAGAAGAGGGAAUUUCCCCGUGUAGGGGGGAAAGGCGUAAAGAUGUGGAGGACCCCCAGGGGCAAAGGCAAUUCUUUGGCCUAUACUUGACGUUAAGGCGCGAAAGCGGGGGGGGCAAACGGGAUUAAAUCCCCCGGGUAUCCA
This 339-nucleotide ribosomal RNA is filed under the name Exiguobacterium aestuarii. RNAcentral describes it as "partial 16S ribosomal RNA". It matches the Rfam family "Bacterial small subunit ribosomal RNA", at positions 461 to 797 of the family's 1533-position model. Lineage: Bacteria; Bacillati; Bacillota; Bacilli; Caryophanales. The record is from RNAcentral.